This 425-nucleotide ribosomal RNA is filed under the name uncultured bacterium. Its description in RNAcentral is "bacterial SSU rRNA". It matches the Rfam family "Bacterial small subunit ribosomal RNA", at positions 356 to 773 of the family's 1533-position model. The record is from RNAcentral.
GGGGAAUUUUGGACAAUGGGGGCAACCCUGAUCCAGCCAUGCCGCGUGCGGGAAGAAGGCCUUCGGGUUGUAAACCGCUUUUAGUCGGGAAGAAAAGGCCAGGCCUAAUACGUCUGGUUCUUGACGGUACCGGCGGAAUAAGCACCGGCUAACUACGUGCCAGCAGCCGCGGUAAUACGUAGGGUGCGAGCGUUAAUCGGAAUUACUGGGCGUAAAGCGUGCGCAGGCGGUUCGUUAAGUCUGAUGUGAAAGCCCCGGGCUCAACCUGGGAAUGGCAUUGGAAACUGGCGGGCUUGAGUGUGGCAGAGGGGGGUGGAAUUCCGCGUGUAGCAGUGAAAUGCGUAGAGAUGCGGAGGAACACCGAUGGCGAAGGCAGCCCCCUGGGCUAACACUGACGCUCAGGCACGAAAGCGUGGGGAGCAAAC